RNAcentral lists this ribosomal RNA (164 nucleotides) under Kleinia abyssinica var. hildebrandtii. RNAcentral's name for it is "5.8S ribosomal RNA". It matches the Rfam family "5.8S ribosomal RNA". From Rfam's summary of the family: 5.8S ribosomal RNA (5.8S rRNA) is a component of the large subunit of the eukaryotic ribosome. It is transcribed by RNA polymerase I as part of the 45S precursor that also contains 18S and 28S rRNA. Functionally, it is thought that 5.8S rRNA may be involved in ribosome translocation. The record is from RNAcentral. Lineage: Eukaryota; Viridiplantae; Streptophyta; Magnoliopsida; Asterales; Asteraceae.
AAAAUGACUCUCGGCAACGGAUAUCUUGGCUCACGCAUCGAUGAAGAACGUAGCAAAAUGCGAUACUUGGUGUGAAUUGCAGAAUCCCGUGAACCAUCGAGUUUUUGAACGCAAGUUGCGCCCAAAGCCUUUUGGUCGAGGGCACGUCUGCCUGGGCGUCACAC